UACGUAGGUGGCAAGCGUUGUCCGGAAUUAUUGGGCGUAAAGCGCGCGCAGGCGGUCCUUUAAGUCUGAUGUGAAAGCCCACGGCUCAACCGUGGAGGGUCAUUGGAAACUGGGGGACUUGAGUGCAGGAGAGAAGAGUGGAAUUCCACGUGUAGCGGUGAAAUGCGUAGAGAUGUGGAGGAACACCAGUGGCGAAGGCGGCGCUCUGGGCCGGAACUGACGCUGAGGAGCGAAAGCGUGGGUAGCAAACAGG
Molecule: ribosomal RNA, 253 nt
Filed under: uncultured bacterium
Lineage: Bacteria
Description: partial 16S ribosomal RNA
Rfam family: Bacterial small subunit ribosomal RNA
Source: RNAcentral